RNAcentral lists this ribosomal RNA (389 nucleotides) under uncultured bacterium. RNAcentral's name for it is "bacterial SSU rRNA". It matches the Rfam family "Bacterial small subunit ribosomal RNA", at positions 29 to 424 of the family's 1533-position model. The record is from RNAcentral.
AUUGAACGCUGGCGGCAUGCCUUACACAUGCAAGUCGAACGCGAAAGCGGGGCAACCCGCAAGUAGAGUGGCGAACGGGUGAGUAAUACAUCGGAACGUACCCAGUAGCGGGGGAUAACCUCUCGAAAGAGAAGCUAAUACCGCAUACGACCUAUGGGUGAAAGCGGGGGAUCGCAAGACCUCGCACUAUUGGAGCGGCCGAUGUCGGAUUAGCUAGUUGGCGGGGUAACGGCCCACCAAGGCGACGAUCCGUAGCUGGUCUGAGAGGACGACCAGCCACACUGGAACUGAGACACGGUCCAGACUCCUACGGGAGGCAGCAGUGGGGAAUUUGGACAAUGGGCGCAAGCCUGAUCCAGCCAUGCCGCGUGAGUGAAGAAGGCCUGGUU